Molecule: ribosomal RNA, 606 nt
Filed under: Plateros sp. UPOL A00483
Lineage: Eukaryota; Metazoa; Arthropoda; Insecta; Coleoptera; Lycidae
Description: partial 16S ribosomal RNA
Rfam family: Bacterial large subunit ribosomal RNA (bases 380-538)
Source: RNAcentral
CAUGUCUUUUUGAAUAUGAUUUAAAGUCUGAUCUGCUCAAUGAUGAUUAAAUAGCCGCAGUAUUUUGACUGUGCAAAGGUAGCAUAAUAAAUAGUUUCUUGAUUAGGGACUGGUAUGAAUGAUUGGACGAGAAAAUUUCUGUCUCUUAUUAAGGGGUUUUUGAAUUUUAUUUUUAAGUUAGAAGGCUUAAAUAUUUUUAAAAGACGAGAAGACCCUAUAGAGUUUUAUAUUUUUUAUUAAUUAUGUGUUAGGAAUUUUUUUUGUAGGGAAUAUUUGGUUGGGGUGAUUGGAGGAUUUAUUAAAUUCUUUUAUUGUUUAUAUUGAUGAUUUUUAAAUUUUUUUAUCUAGAUUUUUUAAAUUUAAAAUUAAUUACCUUAGGGAUAACAGCGUAAUUUUUCUUUAAAGCUCAAAUUAAAAGAAGAGUUUGCGACCUCGAUGUUGGAUUAAAAUUAAUUUUUGGUGCAGUAACUUAAGAAUUAGGUCUGUUCGACCUUUAAAAUUUUACAUGAUCUGAGUUUAGACCGGUGUAAGCCAGGUUGGAUUCUAUCUUUAAUUAAAUUAUGUAUUUUAGUACGAAAGGACCAUAUAUAUAUUAUAUAAUAAUUA